This 709-nucleotide long non-coding RNA is filed under the name Echeneis naucrates (live sharksucker). RNAcentral describes it as "lncRNA (ENSENLG00000017531.1)". Lineage: Eukaryota; Metazoa; Chordata; Actinopteri; Carangiformes; Echeneidae. The record is from RNAcentral.
GAAGCCGUGUGUCAGCGGCGUGCAGUGCUGAUGUAAACAACGGCGGUCAGUGGGUUAGCCUUCAGCGAACAGGCUGCCAAUGCCCGCAACCGGUCACAUUCCGGCUGACAUCAGUGGAGCACAUGAUAAACCAUGAUUACCACUGAGGUCGCAAGAGAGUUCCAGGCCAAAGAGCGCAAAUACAAAGAGCAGCUGAGGAGAAGCUUGUCAUCAGCUUUGUCUGCAGACCUUAACAGCUUACUGCAGGAGGAGCUGGAAGCUGAUGUGACUCUGUGUGCUGCCUCAGGCUCACUCCGAGCGCACAGGGCAGUACUGUUGGCCAGAGCCCCACAUGUCUUUCAGAGACCGACGCACAAUGAUCCAACCAUCAUUCAUCUCCCUGAAUAUGAACUGUCUGAGCUAAAAGAUUUCCUCAGGCGAGUCUAUACUGCAGACCAGAGCAUGCACUGGGCAGAAAAAAUCCCAGGCAUGGAGGGCAUUCUGCCAAGAAGAACUCUGUCUGUUCCAGAGCAGGCGGAUCUUCGCAGUUCCACUGACUCAGAUGCUGUUGUUCUUGAGCCAGCCUCUUGUCUUGGAGCUGACUUGCUGGACCUUUACCAAAGGGGAGAGCAGUGUGACAUUACCAUCCAAGUAGCAGAGCAGGUCUUCUCCUGCCACAGGUAGAAGCGCUUUCUCUGUAUCAAUACAUUCAUUGCCCAAAAGACAGUCC